AGUGAACGCUGGCGGUAGGCCUAACACAUGCAAGUCGAACGGCAGCACAGGAGAGCUUGCUCUCUGGGUGGCGAGUGGCGGACGGGUGAGGAAUACAUCGGAAUCUACUCUGUCGUGGGGGAUAACGUAGGGAAACUUACGCUAAUACCGCAUACGACCUACGGGUGAAAGCAGGUGAUCUUCGGACCUUGCGCGAUUGACUGAGCCGAUGUCGGAUUAGCUAGUUGGCGGGGUAAAGGCCCACCAAGGCGACGAUCCGUAGCUGGUCUGAGAGGAUGAUCAGCCACACUGGAACUGAGACACGGUCCAGACUCCUACGGGAGGCAGCAGUGGGGAAUAUUGGACAAUGGGCGCAAGCCUGAUCCAGCCAUACCGCGUGGGUGAAGAAGGCCUCCGGGUUGUAAAGCCCUUUUGUUGGGAAAGAAAUCCAGCUGGCUAAUACCCGGUUGGGAUGACGGUACCCAAAGAAUAAGCACCGGCUAACUUCGUGCCAGCCGCCGCAGUAA
RNAcentral lists this ribosomal RNA (506 nucleotides) under uncultured bacterium. RNAcentral's name for it is "partial 16S ribosomal RNA". It matches the Rfam family "Bacterial small subunit ribosomal RNA", at positions 29 to 523 of the family's 1533-position model. The record is from RNAcentral.